Molecule: long non-coding RNA, 408 nt
Filed under: Phaseolus vulgaris (common bean)
Lineage: Eukaryota; Viridiplantae; Streptophyta; Magnoliopsida; Fabales; Fabaceae
Description: long non-coding RNA (PVUL_LNC000605)
Source: RNAcentral
AAAGAAGUACGCACGAGAGGUGAUGGCGGUGGAGGUACUACAAACGGACUUUAUCCCCGACGUCGGCCUCACCUUCACGAAAGCCGACCUCUAGGAUGUCAUACCUCACGAUAAUGAUCUGGUGGUAAUCUCGCUAGUCACAGCUGGGAGGAGGGUGCGUCGUGUCCUUGUAGACCAAGGAAGUUCGACAGAUGUUAUGUUCCUGACAACCUUCAACCGUUUGCUGCUAUCCACGAACCAAUUAAAGCCCUACACCGGAUGUUUGUAUGGUUUUGCAGGAGACGAGGUGGAGGUUCGCGGGCACAUCGAGUUGAGGACAACAUUCACAAAUGGCACGUCUUCACGCAUUACAAGUAUCAGGUACCUCGUCGUUAACGCUCCAUCGGCUUAUAACAUACUGUUGGGGAG